UGGGAUACCACCCUUGUAGUACUGGGACUCUAACCAUAGGCCAUGAAUCUGGUCUUGGGACACUGUCAGGUGGGCAGUUUGACUGGGGCGGUCGCCUCCCAAAAGGUAACGGAGGCGCUCAAAGGUUCUCUCAGUACGGUCGGAAAUCGUACGUAGAGUGUAAAGGCAAAAGAGAGCUUGAUUGCAAGACAUACAGGUCGAGCAAGGAUGAAAAUCGGACUUAGUGAUCCGGUGGUUCUGCGUGGAAGGGCCAUCGCUCAACGGAUAAAAGCUACCCUGGGGAUAACAGGCUUAUCUCCCCCAAGAGUCCACAUCGACGGGGAGGUUUGGCACCUCGAUGUCGGCUCAUCACAUCCUGGGGCUGUAGUAGGUCCCAAGGGUUGGGCUGUUCGCCCAUUAAAGUGGUACGCGAGCUGGGUUCAGAACGUCGUGAGACAGUUCGGUCCCUAUCCGUCGCAGGCGUAGGAAAUUUGAGAAGACCUGUCCUUAGUACGAGAGGACCGGGAUGGACGUACCUCUGGUGUACCAGUUGUUCUGCCAAGGGCAUGGCUGGGUAGCUA
RNAcentral lists this ribosomal RNA (560 nucleotides) under Clostridioides difficile. Its description in RNAcentral is "partial 23S ribosomal RNA". It matches the Rfam family "Bacterial large subunit ribosomal RNA", at positions 2193 to 2751 of the family's 2925-position model. The record is from RNAcentral. Lineage: Bacteria; Bacillati; Bacillota; Clostridia; Peptostreptococcales; Peptostreptococcaceae.